UAAGACGAAGGUGGGGAGCGUUACUCGGAAUUACUGGGCAUAAAGCGCGCGUAGGCGGCUCGGUCAGUCGAGGGUGAAAGCCCGUGGCUCAACCACGGAAUUGCCUCCGAUACUGCCGGGCUUGAGGCUAGGAGAGGUCACCGGAACUCCAGGUGUAGCGGUGAAAUGCGUAGAUAUCUGGAGGAACACCAGAGGCGAAGGCGGGUGACUGGACUGGUACUGACGCUGAGGCGCGAAAGCUAGGGGAGCAAACAGGAUUAGAUACCCUGGUAGUCCUAGCUGUAAACGAUGGGCACUAGGCUGCGGAGGUCCGAUGCCGUCGCAGCUGGAGCAAAUGUUUUAAGUGCCCCGCCUGGGGAGUACGGCCGCAAGGCUG
Molecule: ribosomal RNA, 376 nt
Filed under: uncultured Planctomycetota bacterium
Lineage: Bacteria; Pseudomonadati; Planctomycetota
Description: bacterial SSU rRNA
Rfam family: Bacterial small subunit ribosomal RNA
Source: RNAcentral